UUCUGGUUGAUCCUGCCGGAGGUCACUGCUAUUGGGAUCCGACUAAGCCAUGCGAGUCGAGAGGGUUCGGCCCUCGGCGAACUGCUCAGUAACACGUGGAUAAUCUGCCCUUAGGAGGAGGAUAAUCUCGGGAAACUGAGAAUAAUACUCCAUAGAUCUUUGAGGCUGGAAUGCACUUAGAUUUAAAGCUUCGGCGCCUAAGGAUGAGUCUGCGGACUAUCAGGUUGUAGUCAGGGUAAAGACCUGACUAGCCUACGACGGAUACGGGUUGUGAGAGCAAUAACCCGGAGAUGAUAUCUGAGACACGAUAUCAGGCCCUACGGGGCGCAGCAGGCGCGAAAACUUCACAAUGCGCGAAAGCGCGAUGAGGGGAUCCCAAGUGCUUGCACGUAAGUGUAAG
Molecule: ribosomal RNA, 400 nt
Filed under: uncultured archaeon
Lineage: Archaea
Description: bacterial SSU rRNA
Rfam family: Archaeal small subunit ribosomal RNA
Source: RNAcentral